This 21-nucleotide non-coding RNA is filed under the name Caenorhabditis elegans. Lineage: Eukaryota; Metazoa; Nematoda; Chromadorea; Rhabditida; Rhabditidae. The record is from RNAcentral.
UUUGAUUCCAAUUUGAAAAAA